This is a long non-coding RNA of Aedes aegypti (yellow fever mosquito), 420 nucleotides long. RefSeq lists it as uncharacterized. The record is from RefSeq and is a predicted model, not a curated record. The transcript is spliced from 3 exons. Lineage: Eukaryota; Metazoa; Arthropoda; Insecta; Diptera; Culicidae.
AUAAAAAGCGGUAAACUUUACUCAUAUUAUAGGUAAACAGCCAUUACCCAUAUUUGAGUGAAAAUUUGAGGACUUCACAAUUUUAAAUUGUUUCCGUGAUGAGAACAUCAUCUUAGCAACAAAAUAUUUUGUUUCAUUAAUUGAUUGCUGUUCAAAAAGACUUUUAUGAUGAUUAAAAUUAUAGAAAAAGGCACAACAAAAAAACCUCGCCUUAUUUCAAUAACUGCGGAGGACAUAAUUCGGCCGAAUACAAAUCAAAUGCUGAAUAGGAUGUUGCGGGAGAAAGUGCAAAGAGCGUUGGAGGUCAAGUCUAUGGACAUUUCACUCCUGAUCUAAACUUCCUGGAUGACAUUCUUAAAAUAGUGUUAUUUAUUUAUUAUUGUGCUAGUUAGUAAUUAAUAAAAAGUUAUAAUUAUUAAA